AAAACGCUCCGAUCUAUCGCUGCAUUUUUGUAGAGGAAAGUCCGGGCAACACUGAGCCACCAUGCUUCAUAACCAGAAGGCGUUGUGCAAACAACGACAGCAAGUGCCACAGAAAAUAACCGCCCUGCGAGGGGUAAGGGUGAAAACGGGAGGUAAGAGCUCCCGCAGCGUUUGGCAACAAACGUUUGGGGUAAACCUCAUGGGUUGAAAGUUCAAAUAUACCGUUUGCUAAGCCGGGCUCGGGCAAUGACGGGGGGUCGAACGAUAGAGCUUGCAAGUGAUUGCAAGUCGAGAUAAAUGAUAGAUUAGAAACAGGACCCGGCUUAUGAGAGCGUUUUUCUU
This 342-nucleotide RNase P RNA is filed under the name Bacteroidales bacterium. Its description in RNAcentral is "RNase P RNA component class A". It matches the Rfam family "Bacterial RNase P class A". From Rfam's summary of the family: Ribonuclease P (RNase P) is a ubiquitous endoribonuclease, found in archaea, bacteria and eukarya as well as chloroplasts and mitochondria. The record is from RNAcentral. Lineage: Bacteria; Pseudomonadati; Bacteroidota; Bacteroidia; Bacteroidales.